This 163-nucleotide ribosomal RNA is filed under the name uncultured bacterium. RNAcentral's name for it is "partial 16S ribosomal RNA". It matches the Rfam family "Bacterial small subunit ribosomal RNA", at positions 355 to 511 of the family's 1533-position model. The record is from RNAcentral.
UAGGGAAUCUUCCACAAUGGGCGCAAGCCUGAUGGAGCAACACCGCGUGAGUGAAGAAGGUUUCGGCUCGUAAAGCUCUGUUGUUAAAGAAGAACAUAUCUGAGAGUAACUGUUCAGGUAUUGACGGUAUUUAACCAGAAAGUCACGGCUAACUACGUGCCAG